GGUAGUAUAGUACAGUAGUUAAGCACACAGGGCUUACAUUCUGACAUCCAGGUUUAAUUCUUGGUUCUUCUU
Molecule: transfer RNA, 72 nt
Filed under: Urocitellus parryii (Arctic ground squirrel)
Lineage: Eukaryota; Metazoa; Chordata; Mammalia; Rodentia; Sciuridae
Also listed under: 2 other names
Description: Spermophilus parryii (Arctic ground squirrel) tRNA
Rfam family: tRNA
About the family: Transfer RNA (tRNA) molecules are approximately 80 nucleotides in length.
Source: Rfam by way of RNAcentral